Molecule: long non-coding RNA, 556 nt
Organism: Brienomyrus brachyistius
Lineage: Eukaryota; Metazoa; Chordata; Actinopteri; Osteoglossiformes; Mormyridae
Exons: 4
Source: RefSeq, a predicted model, not a curated record
AUAAGUGAAGAACAGGAAUAUUCCGGUUUUUCCAGGUUGCCUGAAAAAAUGUAGUCACGUAGUUUUCUUAGACGGUGAACAAGCUGUAUUACAAAGAGCAAAAGGUUUUUUCUUUUGGAGAUACACCGAAAUAUUAAAGAAAUAUUCAGAGAGCGAGACAACAUUGGUUGUGAUGGCUGAACGUUUUUUCCUGCUACUAGUCACCCAUGAGGCACGGAGCAGCCGCGUGAGCACAUUUUGACCAGAGGUCAGGUCCUUUUAGCGGGAACCUAAACUUCCUGGAGCUGCAUUCGAAUAUCGUUGGAUGUCGAUGCUGGAACUGGCGUGAACAGGAAGUUGGGGGAGGUACUCAAUGGAAGGGUAAAUACCAGUGACCUCAGCAGACCAGCUAAUCAUCCACAUCCCACCAGUUUGCAAGUGGACCAACCUUUGUGAAGAACUUGUGGCCACGGAUAUUCUGCGGUGACGGGCGAUCCCGUGGGUCGAUUUGAAAUAUUUUGCCCAUCAGUUUCCCAGCUUCAAUACCGAGGUUCUGGGGUAGAAUAAAUUUAGCUUC